RNAcentral lists this long non-coding RNA (493 nucleotides) under Pelusios castaneus (West African mud turtle). RNAcentral's name for it is "lncRNA (ENSPCEG00000009588.1)". Lineage: Eukaryota; Metazoa; Chordata; Testudines; Pelomedusidae. The record is from RNAcentral.
AUGGUCUCAGUGUGUGUGAUUGCAAGAGAAGGGACUUCUGAGGUGAUGGAGCACCCCUCCAGUGCAAGGCCUCAGUGGUUCCAUCACCCUGGACCACAGCUGAGCGGUGACCUUAGAGAGAAGUCGCAAUAUCCACGGCAACUAGGCCUCCCUCCGGCUUAUCUCACUGUUCUUCAUAAUAAUGGGAAUGAAGGAGACCAAGGUAUCAUGACCUUGCUUCAUAGGUUUGGCUUUAUGGUGAGUGGUGAAAUGUUCUGCACUAUUCUCCCUCCCUGCUGUUCCACCUUUGCCUUGCUGUGUCCUUGUCUAUCCUUGCUUAUUCCUCCUACCUGCUCCCAGUUCCUCCAUCUCUCAUCAGCCUUUCCAACUUUCCUUCUUCCCCAUCAGUAACAUAAUCGCUCUCCUUUCUCUGGGAGGUACCUUGUGCCUGUGGAUCUCCUCCAAAGUCUUGGGUAGCUCACUUCAUGAUGCUCCAGAUGACCAGGCUUUGCCC